Long non-coding RNA from Oncorhynchus tshawytscha (Chinook salmon), 1691 nucleotides. The record is from Ensembl. Lineage: Eukaryota; Metazoa; Chordata; Actinopteri; Salmoniformes; Salmonidae.
CCGACAGUUUCUCCGGCUGGUGCCAAAAAUGACAUUCUUUGGCAGGGCACAGGGCUGCUGUAAAGCACUACUCAGGAACACAAUGUUCGGGACGCUGGAUGCAGCAAAGAAGCACUCUUAGAUUAAACAAGACCAAUGUGAUAACUGCUGAGCUCUUAUGGAAAACAACACAGUCGAAGCAUUACUACUGUUGAAAUAUUACUGUAACAUUACAGGAACAGUCACUUAGUGAAGUUGUCCUCUUUUUUGGUCCACUUUGCCGAGUGAUUGAUUGACACUUCCUCCAGCCAAUAGGCCACUCAAUCUCCUGGCUGUGGUCCUGGCCCAACAGAGGGGAGAUGAGAGUUAUUCUGCCUGCAAUGCCAAGGGUAAUGAGAACAACGCCACCACUGUAUCUGGCUUCCCGGGGUCUGUGCCAGUCUACGGGCCUCUCUCUCCAUCCAUGGCCGAGCUCCCCUCACCCUCAGUCAGCCACGGAUGGAGAUGGUAGUAGGGCUAGGAUAGAGGAUGGAGAUGGUAGUAGGGCUGGGUUAGAGGAUGGAGACGGUAGUAUGGCUGUGUGUGGUAGGGCUGGGAUAUAGGAUGGAGAUGGUGGUAUGGCUGUGUGUGGUAGGGCUGGGUUAGAGGAUGGAGAUGGCAGUAUGGCUGUGUGUGGUAGGGCUGGGAUAGAGGAUGGAGAUGGUAGUAUGGCUGUGUGUGGUAGGGCUGGGAUAGAGGAUGGAGAUGGCAGUAUGGCUGUGUGGUAGGGCUGGGAUAGAGGAUGGAGAUGGUAGUAUGGCUGGGUUAGAGGAUGGAGAUGCUAGUAUGGCUGGGAUAGAGGAUGGAGAUGGUAGUAUGGCUGGGAUAGAGGAUGGAGAUGGUAGUAGGGCUGGGAUAGAGGAUGGAGAUGGUAGUAUGGCUGUGUGUGGUAGGGCUGGGAUAGAGGAUGGAGAUGGCAGUAUGGCUGUGUGGUAGGGCUGGGAUAGAGGAUGGAGAUGGUAGUAUGGCUGGGUUAGAGGAUGGAGAUGGUAGUAUGGCUUGGAUAGAGGAUGGAGAUGGUAGUAUGGCUUGGAUAGAGGAUGGAGAUGGUAGUAUGGCUGUGUGUGGUAGGGCUGGGAUAGAGGAUGGAGAUGGUGGUAUGGCUGUGUGUGAGAUGGUAGUGGGAUAGAGGAUGGAGAUGGUAGUAUGGCUGGGAUAGAGGAUGGAGAUGGUAGUAUGGCUGUGUGUGGUAGGGCUGGGAUAUAGGAUGGAGAUGGUGGUAUGGCUGUGUGUGGUAGAGCUGGGUUAGAGGAUGGAGAUGGCAGUAUGGCUGUGUGGUAGGGCUGGGAUAGAGGAUGGAGAUGGUAGUAUGGCUGUGUGUGGUAGGGCUGGGAUAGAGGAUGGAGAUGGUAGUAUGUCUGUGUGUGGUAGGGCUGCGAUAGAGGAUGGAGAUGGCAGUAUGGCUGGGAUAGAGGAUGGAGAUGGUAGUAUGGCUGGGUUAGAGGAUGGAGAUGGUAGUAUGGCUGGGUUAGAGGAUGGAGAUGGUAGUAUGGCUGGGAUAGAGGAUGGAGAUGGUAGUAUGGCUUGGAUAGAGGAUGGAGAUGGUAGUAUGGCUUGGAUAGAGGAUGGAGAUGGUAGUAUGGCUGUGUGUGGUAGGGCUGGGAUAGAGGAUGGAGAUGGUGGUAUGGCUGUGUGUGGUAGGGCUGGGAUAGAGGAUGGAGAUGGUAGUAUGG